GCGCUGUGCGAGGAGAAGCCCAGCCCAGCACCCCUCUGACCAGCGUGGCCUUCACAGGGUGCUGCCGGGCACGUCUCCCUUCCCUCUCUGGCCAACAGGCAAGAAUCCAAGAUGACAUAUUCGACGGAAGCUUUCCUGCAGAGCUGUCAUCAGGAGUGAUCCAGCCCUUUUCCGGAGUGUCACAGUUUAUAAGUCAAUAAAGCGUCUGUGACUUUCCAAUCGCUUCUACUAGUGGUCACUGGUUUUUAUUCAUCAGUAUGUACCGGGCUGCCAUUCAGCUGGCCUUGGGGGGAGCGAGCGAGCGGCUGUGUGGGGCUGAGUUGCCGGCUGGGGUUAAACCAUGAAAACUUGCUACAUGCUUAAGUCUUGGUGGACAGAGGGAGAGUGAAAAGAGGAUCACGGCACAGGGCACGGCUGGUCUGGCUCAGGGCGUCUGCGCCUGGGUCCUGCCCCCACGCCACUGCCCAGCUCUCUCUGGACUUCAGCGAUGCUCCUGAAAAGGACUUUGCUAUCCCUAGAGAAAGUAUGAACAGAGGCACACAGGAACAGACGCUUUCUCAGAAUUCAAAAAUUCUUUAUGUAAAACAUGGCUCUGACAAUGCACAGCCUAAAUUUUGAAUGAGUUCUUAAACCACAGAAUAUCUCAUUUUCAGCUGGGUUUCAUGACUCUAUCAAAGAGGAAGUUAACUGUGAGAAGCAUAUGACCAUGAGACUAUACUUGGCUGGACUGACAUCAAAAGAAGUGACUUUUGGGCACACAUAGAUUUUUAAAAUCACUGCUUCAGUACGGUCACAUUUAGAUUUUUUCUUUUUUCAGUGUAGAGCAUAUAGUGAGCUAUUCUUGUGGACUGAACGACAUUCUAAGUCCCAUGAUGUAUGCAUGACACGGACUUGCCACUGCUGCUACAUUCCUUCAGUUCAACAGCCGUGUGAAAGCUGUAUCAUCCUGAGCUAAAAAAGGUCAAAAAAUAGCUUUAUCUCAAGAGAGAUAGCCUGAAAAUUAAUGCCUGGCCAUGCAAACUCAAAUCACAUGUGUGGGUAUUUAUAUGUAUAUGUAUAUAUAUAUGCAUACACACAAACAGAUAUAUAUACACAACAGCAUUGUAUUAUUCAAUACAGAUAUAUUUUAAUUUCAUUUUCUUAUAAUAAAAAAAAUAAAUAACACAA
Molecule: long non-coding RNA, 1167 nt
Organism: Harpia harpyja (harpy eagle)
Lineage: Eukaryota; Metazoa; Chordata; Aves; Accipitriformes; Accipitridae
Exons: 4
Source: RefSeq, a predicted model, not a curated record